GUCCUUCACCGAGGCUUCCGGUGUUGUCUCACAUGUCCAAAGAAAACAUUGUAGCUAUCCUUUUUAAAUUGGAAACAUAUGACUCCAUGUACUUUUGCAACUAACCAUCAUUCGAAGUGUGCUGCUGCAACAUGUUCAACUGAGGGCUGGCGUGUGACCUCUAUGACUGACUGCAGUCGGACUAAACCAGGCAUCACGUCUCAUUCCUGGAAAAAGGUUGGUGUGUUGCCAUGACGUUCAUCAAGCCUCCUUCAUUGGACCUCUGACUUUAUCAGACAGGAAUUCUCUUUUACCCUGAACAUUCCUCAAAUUAAAUGUCUUCAGGAAUGCUCUGAAGACCUGUACGAAAGCUCUGAAGACCUGUACGAAAGCUCUGAAGACCUGUACGAAAGCAAAUAGGGAAGCACCAAAAGGGAGAAACUUAAAAAUGCAGAGGCUUUCAUUUCACAUCAUCGCUGUCAUAAUAAGCUAUUUUCUCAAUGGCUGCAUAGUUGUUCACAGCCAGACAGUCUGCAACCGACCAGCCAAUCUGGAAUGGCACCUACAACCACAAACUGCUCAGGUGAAAUGGACACUCAUGGAAAACAUCUGUGAUAGUAUGGUCCAAUGUUGGGGUGAUCAAGAAAGGACAGAGACCCAAAAGUCAGAUGUUCCGCCAACUUGGAACUUACCUCAGAUUUGUCCUCUAGAGGUGCAGUUUGGCGUCAAGCUGUUUGUUUCUAUUGAUGCCACUCUGGAUUUAUACGGUAUCAGGAUCCUCAAUGUGUCAAAGGAGGACUUUGAAAGUUGUUCCACUGCACCACAGUCACAAGACCAGUUUCUCUGUUCCGAUGAUGUUAUGAACGCGUCUAGGCAGGUGCAACCUAAGUGGCUUCUCCCGGGCCUUCAUUAUUUCAUAGCUUCGCAUGAGGGGAAUUCACAGCUCUGCAAGCUGGGUCUUCGUCUCAACGUCUCUGUGAAGGAACAACAGUGUCGAAGCAGCCCACUAGUGCGACUCUGCUCCGGGAACGGUGUUUGUAGGACAAGCUUUUGGGAAGACGGAGCGUACCGCUGUCAGUGCCGCCA
Molecule: long non-coding RNA, 1065 nt
Organism: Oncorhynchus keta (chum salmon)
Lineage: Eukaryota; Metazoa; Chordata; Actinopteri; Salmoniformes; Salmonidae
Exons: 3
Source: RefSeq, a predicted model, not a curated record